Molecule: ribosomal RNA, 683 nt
Filed under: uncultured Bacteroidales bacterium
Lineage: Bacteria; Pseudomonadati; Bacteroidota; Bacteroidia; Bacteroidales
Description: bacterial SSU rRNA
Rfam family: Bacterial small subunit ribosomal RNA
Source: RNAcentral
GCAGCAUUUCAGUUUGCUUGCAAACUGGAGAUGGCGACCGGCGCACGGGUGAGUAACACGUAUCCAACCUGCCGAUAACUCGGGGAUAGCCUUUCGAAAGAAAGAUUAAUACCCGAUGGCAUAAUUAGACCGCAUGGUCUUAUUAUUAAAGAAUUUCGGUUAUCGAUGGGGAUGCGUUCCAUUAGGCAGUUGGUGAGGUAACGGCUCACCAAACCUUCGAUGGAUAGGGGUUCUGAGAGGAAGGUCCCCCACAUUGGAACUGAGACACGGUCCAAACUCCUACGGGAGGCAGCAGUGAGGAAUAUUGGUCAAUGGACGAGAGUCUGAACCAGCCAAGUAGCGUGAAGGAUGACUGCCCUAUGGGUUGUAAACUUCUUUUAUAUGGGAAUAAAGUUUUCCACGUGUGGAAUUUUGUAUGUACCAUAUGAAUAAGGAUCGGCUAACUCCGUGCCAGCAGCCGCGGUAAUACGGAGGAUCCGAGCGUUAUCCGGAUUUAUUGGGUUUAAAGGGAGCGUAGGUGGACAGUUAAGUCAGUUGUGAAAGUUUGCGGCUCAACCGUAAAAUUGCAGUUGAUACUGGCUGUCUUGAGUACAGUAGAGGUGGGCGGAAUUCGUGGUGUAGCGGUGAAAUGCUUAGAUAUCACGAAGAACUCCGAUUGCGAAGGCAGCUCACUGGACUGCAAC